GUCUUACCCUUCCGGAGCACCUGAGAUCACCCCUAGUUUUUGGUGGGGUUCGUGUUGUUUAUUCUUUAGUUUUCUAUGUUGUGUCAUGUGUACUAUUGUUUUUCUGUUUGUCUUUUUCAUUUUUAGCCAUGGCGUUGUCAGUUUGUUUUAGAUUUAUGAGUUCGACUGUCCCUUUGGUAUGUUUCGUCCCUCUUUCAGCAGAUAUAAUUUGAUGAUUUUCUGCAACUCAGUUAUUCACAUUUCAACGAAAGCGUUGAUCUCAUAUAUACCAGUGACCUUUGAGCUAAU
RNAcentral lists this long non-coding RNA (288 nucleotides) under Mytilus galloprovincialis (Mediterranean mussel). The record is from RNAcentral. Lineage: Eukaryota; Metazoa; Mollusca; Bivalvia; Mytilida; Mytilidae.